RNAcentral lists this long non-coding RNA (11643 nucleotides) under Phoenix dactylifera (date palm). Its description in RNAcentral is "long non-coding RNA (PDAC_LNC003606)". The record is from RNAcentral. Lineage: Eukaryota; Viridiplantae; Streptophyta; Magnoliopsida; Arecales; Arecaceae.
CUUAUAGCUGUUGGUUAAUGGCUAUGCUAAGGAAAUGUUUCUUCUAAGCUUUUGGUGGAAAGGGACGUUUACCUGCAAUUUUCAUCAAGAGAUAAGAGGUGAGGUUUCAAUUGAAUGCGUGCGGGAAAUUUAUAGGCAUAAGGGUCAUAAUGGUUCUUUAAUGUAAUGAUGGCAAUUGAUAGGCGUUAAGUUCCUACUGGUGAUUAUCGGGACUCUUAUAUUGGAGAUCAGUAGAGAUUUCAUACUAAACCUGCUAAGUAUCCACUUAGGAACAUUGAUUUUCUAGUUGUUGGAAUAUCUUCCAUUAAGAGAAUAUUAUUAAACUGAAUUAAGAAUUCUUAGAUAAAUUGAUGAAAUCAGUACUGACUAGUCUGAGACCUAAGUCAUUCUGCAGGAGAAAUUAUUAGUCAGUAUUUAUGGCUGAUAAUCAGACUCAAGCCAGGCUUUGAUUAUUCUGAGUUUGGUCAAGGAAAUCCAGGCUAUCGUCUAAGUUAGCUUAUUUUUUAGGCCAAAAUAGUUUUAAAUUAGGUAUAGCUUGUCCUUGACAUGACCAAGGGCCUGGUUGGAAGUCUAAGUAUGACAAAGUUUCAUGUAAAAUACCUAAGCCUGCCAAAUACUAUUCUGAUGCCUAACUGUAAAAUAAUGAAACAUAACUUAUAUACCCUUCUUACGUUUUCCCAUGCCUUGUCUCCCACUCUUCCUCCCCCUCCCCUUGUCUCCUCUCCUCCUACUUCUGCUUCUCUCCACUCAGCUCCGUCACCUCAAUAGCAAUUGCCAGUGUCAUGACCCGUUUCUAACUUCAUCCACACUAACUCUGCAAUCAUGCUUUUGCCAUUUUCGCUGCCCCCAACCUCCAUCACCUAUGACUGUCUUCUGUUGCUGGUAGGUUGGGUCUUGGUUGGGAGGGAGAAAGAGAUGUUGGGAAGGGUAAGUAAGAGAGAGACCUAGGGGAGGGAAGGAAAUAAAGCUUUCCUUGAAUGUGUUUUAAACAAAAAAGGACUAAAGUUCUAAAACCUCUACUGUUUUUUUCUUUUUCUUUUUUUUUCCAUCAAUAUGGUGGUAUCUGUGACACCACUAGGGUUUCAAGACACUUUCAACCCUGAACCUCCCCAAGUGGAAGCUCUUUGGAGAGAGGUGCCAAUCGAGCUAACAGUUGUUGGCCCUCUACUAUUUUUUUCUCUUUUUUUGAAUAAAAAUAUUACAAAUCACUCUUUCUGAUUUAAUGCAUGGAUAAAUUACAUGGAAAAUGUUUCUAGAACACGAUAAAAGUCUUCAUGAUGAUUGCAAGUCUUAAAACACAUCAACAGUUUGGUUUUUGCUUAUCAAUAUUUCUAAAUGCCAACCACUUGAGCUAAAAGUCGUUGGCCCUGCACUGUUUUUUCUCUUUUUUCUGUAUUAAAACACUAAAAAUAUCUCUUUCUGAUUUAAUGAAUGUAUAAAUUGCAUGGAAAACUGUUUCUAGAACACAAGAAAAUUCUUCAUGAUGAUGCAAGUUUACAACAUGUCAGCAAUUUACUUUUUGCCUACCAAUACUUCUAAAAGUUAUAUAUGUAUAUUCUCUUUAAGCUAAGCAUAUCAAUCAUAAACCUUGUAUUUAUGCAUGUCAUGGCUUUAUUGCAAAAGUUAUAAAAAAAUGUGGCAUCAUAGAUUUUUUGUGUUUCUUAAGUUAAAAAAAAUAGUUUAAAAAUUUUACUUCUAAUUCAGAAAGUCUCUACGAUAUUGGGCUGCAUAAUAUCAAGCAAAUUACUUGGUUUUACCAGGUUAAGGAACAUGUGUGAUGAAUAUCACAUUACAGACUAUGGUCGAGAAAGGAAUCUCAUAAUUAAUGGCAACUUAAUUAUAUGGAAAGAUGGAAGCAUUUCUAGGUUCCAUUUUUUCUUAACAUAAUAACGACUUUUAUACUUACCUCCUGGACAUACGGUAAGAAGAUGAUGCAAUUAAACCCUACCAGAUACUUUCCAAUAAAACCAACCAAAGAGGUGUUGAUGAAACUAUUUCUUUUGUUAGAUGGUGCUUGAGAAAAUUGCUGUUAAGAUUUUACAAUCCAAAUUAACAGUAGAAUGUUUGGAUCUCAUCCUACAGCUUCAUCAUGUAAUUUGUAUAUGGAAACAUGUGGAACUAUUUUCUAUAGUUUAAAUUGCUUGUUUAUCACUGACAAGUCUCAAGUAUGUAAAGUGAACAAGCUCUUGGAGUUUUUAACUUCUAAAAUGUAAAGAAAAAGAUGUUAUGGAGUUAAUGGAUUUAAAAGCAGGAGAUAUAGUUUUGUAUUUAGCAGGAGACAUAGGUUUGUAUUUUUAACAACCAUUUAUCAAGAUUUGACUAGCAUCCAGCACAUGGGUAGCACGUGCUUAUUGAAAAAGGAAGCCUUGUGCAAGUGUGCCCCAUCAUCUGCUUGACAUUGAUCGCUACUCUUCUCAAAAAGUUUAUUUGGGAACUAUGAAAUGGAAUGCCUCAGAGUCCUACAGUGUGCUGGACUCUUAACCAGAAGGCCCCUGAGGCAUUCUGGACUCGGGGCUUUCUCAUUAUAUAUUGCAAGAUUUAUCAUAUUCAAAGUGUUCUACCUAAAAGGAUCAUUGAAUUAAUAGGUAACAUAUAAAUAUCUUGAAUAAACAAACAUGGUGUCUCUUUCAUUGGACAUUCUAUACAUGGUCUUAAGACAAUGGAAGGUAGGUGUCUUAUAUUUAUGGAUUUUUAUUCUUCAUUCAUCUACCUUACAAUUGACUCUUUCUCUCUCCCUCUCUCUAAUUGACAUUUAUUUUAUAUUUAAAAUUUUGAAAACGAUUUAAAAUUGUCUCAUGAUCCAAAAGUGGAUCCAUGUUCUGAUAUAACAUCCUCUAUGAUUGACAACUAAGUCCUGAUCUUUAUAUCGUUGCUUCAAAAUGAGCGCAUGGGCCUUUCUAAGCAUGUAUCUUUAAAAUAAGCUUCUAUCACUCAUGUCAUUCUCUCUUUUGUUUUUUGGUCAACACAUGUAAGCUGCAUGGUCUAUGGCUGUCUGAAAUUGCUUAUAUUAUAUCAGCAUUUCUAAUCACAAAUUAUGUUUAUGGUGUUGUAUUCCUGCAAGAGAGUCGUUUGUUUGGAUUUCCAUAAAGAUCUCCCACAAUCGCAAAGCUUGUUAACUCACUUCAUUACUAUUUUUUAUAAUAUCACAUUCCUCAUAAGCACUCUACUGGCGCCAUGUUUGCAGAAUAUUUCCAUAAUAGCCUGCUUUAUCAUUGCAAAAUCAUUUUAUGGCUGUAACUUCUUUUAUCUGUAGGAUUUUGUGUUUCUGAAAUAACUUCUAUUGAUUGCUGUUUCCAAUUUUGUCUUGGCAGUGCGAUCUUUUGGAACCGAAGGACGAAAGAAGGAUGGUCCGCAAAUUCCUGCUAGCGACAAAAUCUAUGAGUACAUACUCUUUCGUGGGAGUGAUAUCAAGGUAGACCAACACUUCUGAGUUAGUUGAUUGUUCAGAUAUUAAGAAUAAGUCAGAACUGUGAAAACAAUUAUUGGUCAUGAUUAGAAUUUACAAACAGUCUGCAUGCACGGUAAAUAUUCGUUGCGACAAACUAAGUAGAUGCAAAAUGCACAUCAGAGCCAUUUAUGCAUCUUCUUCCAAACUUCGAUUGAAUGCCCAAUGACAAAUCAACCGAUACUUCUAGGCUUAAGGUUUCCAUUAAAUGCUCUGCCUACUUCUAUUAUGUUCGUGAUUGAUUGUUUCCAUGUGCCUGGCCUAUUAAGUUGAAGUAUCAGUUUUGCUGUUGUUACGUUCAUCUUUGCUUGCUUUUGUAUAUCUUGCAAUUGUUUCUUUUUUCCUAUGAAAUUCAUUGUUAAUUUUUCUAUUUCAAAACCCUCUUUGGUCUUUGCAACACUUGUUUAAGCUCAUUGGCUUUUCACAGGUGCACCUCUUCAUUGAAAUGUCUCUAGCUCCCUCCUUGAUUAAACUGUCACAAUCUGUUAUUUUAUUAAUACAAUUUGAAGAAUCAUUGAUGUAGCAUAUAGAUGUGCAAUUAUCUAGUUGACUUGACACCAUCCACCUGUCUGUGAAAUUAUUGGAAACAUUCCUUUUCCAAUCCUGCCAUUUUCCCAGCCUUUCAUUAUCAAAAAUAUUAAAGCUUUUUAGUAUUGAUUGGGUAUUAACAUGGUAACCAUUUUUUUGUUUUCCUGAAAUUGUGUGCCAUAUACCUCGAACUCAAAGCAGUAUGCAUAUACCUCCUCCUCGGAGCAAUAUGCUAUGUACACCAUCAUUCAUCCAUUAACUUACAGCUUGGUUGCUUGUUUCAUUACUAGUUGCAUCGAUGAUGUGUCAUUCUUUAAAGAUAUUGCUGAAUCUCCAUAUCUGAGCUAAUGCUUUUAUGACGGCAUAUAACUUACUGCAGCUACAAGUUUUUUUUUAUGUUUUUAUUGAUGUUAGAUACUGGCUAAUUCUGUCGAAUAUGAAUUGCGGGAUCAGUAAGAUGAAUCAGUUUUUAAUGAAUGAGUGGUUUCUAGGAAUCUGAAGAGGUAUGGCAUAGUUACAUUCGGAUUAUGCAUGAUAUGGUGUUGUCAUCAUCUCUGCUGUCCCAUGUGUAGGCCAUCUGUUGAAGAACUGAUGGUCCAUAUGAUCUAGUUACUUGGCCGACUUUUUUUUAUUUGCUAUUUUCUACUAAUUAUGCAACAAAAACAUCUAGCCUUUCAAUUUUAUCUUUCUCUGGCUUGCGUGUUAGUAAUCCACUGAUUCAAGUGGUGAACAUCUGUUUGUGAUGGUCCUAAUUUUAAGGAGUGCAGCCCAUCCAUGUCUCUGUCAUGAUGGUGUCUAUUUGUGGGGAUGUUAACUGUUAAUGUUUAUUUCUUUGAAUAAAUGUUGUAUUUAGAAUUCUUAUAAAACAUUAAGAUUUGUUAUUUGAUUAAUGCUGGAGCUUCAAACAUAUUCUCUUGCAUUGGUUUCAGGAUUUACAGGUUAAGUCUUCACCACCUGUUCAGACUGCUCCUAUACACAACGAUCCUGCUAUUAUUCAGGUAAUGCAAGAUGACCUUGCAGAAUAGAGCAUGAAUUAAUUUAAUAAUCUGUGACUCAAUAACAUUGUCAAUGUUGUGCAGUCACAUUACUCUCAUCCUGCAACUGCAUUGACUACUACAAGCUUGCCUCCUGUCGGAAGUGGAACUGCACCUGAUCUUGGUUCCCAUGCAGCUCAACUGGGGCUCCCAAGGCCAACUUUUCAAGGCAGCUUGCCUCAAUAUCAACCUGGGGGAAGCUUAGCAUCAUGGGGCUCCUCACCACCUUUGCCAAAUGCCAAUGGCUCUGGGAUUGCGAUGCCAAUGUAUUGGCAAGGAUAUUAUGCACCCUCAACGGGGCUUCCUCAUUUGCAACAACCACCUUUGCUUCGUCCACCACCUGGACUGCCAAUUCCUCCUUCCAUGCAACAACAAUUGCAAUAUUCUGGAAUGAAUGCAUCAUUACCAUCUGGGUCUCCAAGUUUGUCAGAGAUCCCUCCUCCUUUAUUGCCACCUGGUAGUAGCACCCUUAGUCUAACAUCAUCUAUGUUUCCAUCGACAUUGGCUCCUGCCUAUACCAGUGCAUUAGCUCCUGAAACAUUGGCAAAUCCGAUGCCAAGCAAGCCCUCCAUCACUUCUCAUCCUGCAGCACCUCUUGGUACUAAUUUGCCAUUUGUGCCCCCAUCAACUUCUAGUCUUGAGCCUGCCUCAACUCUCUCUCAGAAUAUGCCAUCCAUCAUCAGUAGGAGACCCAAGACACUUCCUAGUCCCAUUGUUGCUCUUCAAACUAUAUCCCAGGUCAUGCCCUCCGUUAUCGGCUCAUCCAGUUCGAGCCAAGUUGAAUCAUCACUACCCUUGGUAACUCCAAGUCAGCUGUUGCAGCCUGGCCUUUCCAUCCCUACUUCUUCUGAGUCAUUGCAAAUGAGCAACAACGAUGUAGAGAUUAAACCACCAGAAGCUAAGGUUAAACCAUUAUUACCUGAACCAUCUGCAUUGACUCCAGCUGAAAAUAAGGCGCCCAUAUUGCCAUUACCAAAACCAACCAAGCAGAAGGUAUGGCGGUAAAAUGCUUGUUAUCUGUGAACUCCCAUAUUAUGUUUUCUGAACUCACUAACUCCUUAAAUGUCAUUUUGUUUCCACUCAUAUUCUAUAAGUUAAAAGUUCUUUAUAUCUUGUCAUGUUACUAAUUUUGUUAUAAUAAUAUAGACACAUAUCUCCUUUUAACAAUUAAACACACAUCCCGAGAAUGUGGAAUCUGAACAAUUUUUCCCAAAUGCAAACUUCACUUAUGCCAAACCAAAGCCUGCAUGUAGAAGGUGGAGGCUUGACGAGUUGACAUACAAGGUCACAAGAAACAGAGGCUGAAUCAAUUGAGAUGAAUCUUGAUCGGACUCAUUGAUGCCCCUAAAACUCAAGCCUUGUGACAGAUGAGCAAUAAUUAGCCAGUAUGUGCCCCCAUUUUGACACAUUAACUUGAUUGUGAUAAGAAAUAGGAUAUAAGUAAGCUAUUGCAGUUCCCAUAAGUGAUAUAUAACGACAUUUCUUAUAAAAAUGUGAGAGGGUUGGCAAGGCUGGCUCUUGAAGGUGAUGUGUGGAAAUGGUGCCUGAUUGCAAUGAUAAGAGAAUUUUUUCCUGGAUUAGAUGGGCUGAUAUCAGAAAAAAGAAGGCUGUUCUAUGAAAGCCAAGUAUAUCAUGGACAUCAUGUAGAAUGUUGGUGCUCUGACAACUAGUACCGGUCUAGUGGAUAUAAUGAUGAGUCAAUAUUGCAUGCUCGUAGAACAUCUAUCCACUACAAGCUUAUAUGUGGUAAUAUAAUAUUAAAAAGAUGCAUGGAAAACUUGUAGAUAUUACUGUGUGGAAUGAUAGGUUUCGACUUUGUAGCAUUAGGAGUUGAGACGGGAGAUAAUCGUGAUAAUAUUAUCAUGUAUGCAUGAUAAGUAUUACUGAAGGAUACAAUUUGAAACAAUUUUGAUAGGAUCUUUAUGCCCAUGCAAGUGAAUAUAGCAUGAAUGUAUCUACUGGUGGUUUUUAGUUGCUUCUGUAAGAAAAGUACAACAGUUUGAAGACAAAAAAUACUAUGAAAAGUUGACAACGAAGUUGCAACAACAGAGGAUAUAAUGACCACAAAUGCCUACAAUAAGAUUACAUAAUGACUUUAAUAUGUCAGUUAAAUGGCUUGUAGGUUGGUUAUUUUCCCUCUUAAGAGAUGUUGAUAUGCAUAAGAUGUGCAUAAUCAUAGAUCAUUUCUUUGAGAAUCCAAGGGUAAGUGCUCAGCAUGUAGCUGCAAAAUGUUAUGGUCUUAUUGGCAAUUAAGAGUUUGUUUGAAGAAAUGAUGAAGAGCAAUGGAAAGAUGCAAAAAAAACCCCACAAGGCUAUGCUUGUAGCAUAUGAAUUGUAUAUUAGGUUGUUCUCAUAAAGACAUGAAGGAACAAUGAAGAGGUGCUAAAUGGAGACUGAGAUUGAUUUAAUCAGGUGCAAUAAAAGUGUAGAUAAUGCGAUAUUGGUGAGGGAUGGGAAGCUUAAGGUGAACUAUUCUUUUUCAAAAUUAUUCAACUAAGAUUUUAAAAAAGGAAAUAGUUUUCGAGGAAUUAUUUUAAGAGCUUGUUACACAUGUAGAGAUGAUAUUUUUAACUUUCGGAUAUUCAAAAGAAAAACUAACUCAAUAAAACAAUGUUGAAUGUAAUGUUAAAAAUCCAAAUCCUUGUUCCUUUAUAUCUUUUGUUCAUCUUUCUUCUCAUCGUUCACAUUGUAUUGUUUUGGUUUUUCAGACUUCUCUAUCACAUUGUUGAGCCCAGACCAUCUAUGAUUACUUAUACAUUUGCCCUGUAAUUGUGUUGAAUUAGCUUGCCAUUUUGGAUUGCUUCUAAUUUAUAUUAGUGCUUCUUAGCUUCCUUUUGUUAAAUUUCUGUCUGCCAAUUAUGUAAUAUUAUGUGCAGCAUUUCUUAUUUCAAUAUGUGAUUUCAGAUUCAUUGGUCAGAAUUUCACAUGCAUGAAAUCUAGCUACAUGUAGUGGUUCAUGAUUUGCUAUUAAAUUUAGUUUAAAGACUCAAGUUGUAAGGAUGUUUUAUUCAAUUUGGUAAAUAAUUUAUUCUUUAAACUUGAAAAAGUAACUUAUGGACCCUAGUUUUGCAAUACAUUACUAAAAUAAAUACCUCUUAAGGAAGUGGACACAACAAAAGUAAAACAAUUAUGCUUAGAUAAUUAAAAAUAGAAAAGUAGAAAGUUACUCAUCUUAGAGGACUUGUUAGAUACCCUAUUUGGGGUUGCCUAAAGCGGGACAAGGAAUGGAAAGUGGGGAGGGAUGCAGAAAAUAUUGGGUUGUUGAUUUUUCGGGACCAUAUGUUGUGAUACUUUGAUCAUUCCUCAAGCAUUUCAUUUCAAGGCAGUUAUUGAAACAGAAUAUUCAGACCUACUCUAGAAAAUGCGAAGAAAAUACCUCAAAUAUGAUGAUGAUGCAUGUGUAUACCUGUUUUGACAUGUUACAGAUGAAUCUUUGAUCAUUUUAUUCAUGCUUUGCAAGGAAUGAGGGUUAUAUAGUUGAGGAUUCUGGUGCAGUAUUGAUGAAAUUUGAUUCCAUACAAUGACAAGAAUGGAAACAUUUUAGAAACGUAUCCAGUUUACUGUUAUACCUGAUAUAUUAUUUUUAAUGGUUUUCAAGAAAAAUUAAUUUCUAGAUCCGAACAAAACAGGAGCAUAAGUUUUAUCAAAAUCUGUUUAAAUGGAACCAUCCUAUCAUUGGUAUGUGGCUGGCUUACUAUAAAGUUUGGAGGCCAAAUUUUAAUAAGACAAUUUCUGAAAAUGGCUUUGCCGUCCAAGGAGACUACUAAAACGAAAACUAUUACUUCAUAACCAUGUUUUUUCUUGGAUUUUAACUGAUGUGGAACACUAAAAGAACAUCUGAUGCCAUGAUUUACUUUAAUUAUACUUCUGGUACUGUUCAGAAGUAUGUUUUUUAUAAUUGUUUGAAAAAAGGGAUGUUGAUUUUUGUGUUAAAGUAGUUUCCUGUAUCUUUGUUUUACCUUUUUUCUAAACUGUUAGGAUGGAAGACUAGUUCAACGAGGAUGAACAAGUUAAACUCAUUAUCAAUUAUUGUCUUUUAGAUUUUAGUGCUACACACUUGCUUUUAAAAAAAUUCUUUUUUAAAAUGAUAUGGGUUUUGAUAUAUAAAUUGUUUAUCCAGCCAAAUGGAGCUGCCUUGCAGACUUAUCACAGCUCUAGGGGGCGUGGAAGAGGAAGAGGAAAUGGGGUACUGCAUUUCUUUGUUCUUUCAAUUCUUCUAAUUAUUUGUUUUUAUAAUGAGACAAACUUUCUGAGUAGCUUUAUAAGGCAUGAGAUUUCCAUUACUGAUCAUAGGAAAUGUAAAAGCAGAAAACUCAAAUCUCCCACAAUUUCGGUCAUAAGUUUUUAGCAGGCUAAACCAAAAUCCAUGUAAAAUUAAGUUAAUAAUUAUUUCUUAGAUAGUAUUAUGAAUUUUUUAUGCUGCUACCCAAGCUGAGCAUAUAUUGAUAUGUUCAUUAUUUUCCAUGCCGAGCUGGUAGCAACGACUAGAAAUCCAUGGGUUAAGGUUUUGAAUAUCAUAUAACAUUGCAUUAACUUUAAAUCUUCAGCAUAUUUUUCACUUAUGAACUUAGUAACUGAGGUUCAUUUGUGGGUGUCAAAUCUACCUUCCUUUCUUGAAUGGAGUUACAUGUGCUAUGUUUUAACCGUCCGUUCACAAAGAUAUCAGCGAAGUAUGGCAAGCUUUAAAUGCCCUCACACAUUUACUAAAUUUCUUACGACCUCAAGACUUCACUUAGGAUAUCCUUCCUGAUCCUCUAAAACUGCUGUCACCUUGCAGUAAAAUAAGGAAAUGAUUGUCCUGUUUUCUUCAUUGAAAAAAUGGACAGUGGUUUCUCUCCUAAUCUUCCAGUUUUCCUUCAUGAUAUUGUCAUAUAUUCUUGUUGGUAAAACUUUCAAUUCUGGUGACAUUGGAAAUCAACUAACAGAACUUACUAUUAAGUGAUUACAUAAACUUGUGUUAGGAAAACCUACCUUAUUUUUCGAUUCUCAACUUCUUUAAGCAUUCUAUGCCACAUAAGUUUAAGGGCAAGGAGUUCUGUGCUGCACGAAAGAUAAGAACUGCAAACUUGCAAAUAGCCUUUUGAUGAUUCUUAUGCAAAGUCUGCUGAAUAAUUCAAUGUGUUUUCUAAUGCAUGUUGCAGAAAAAUCUAUAAAACACAUUUAUCUUUAGAAGUUGUAUUUUUCAAUAGCUAAUUCUGUUGGAGGACUCUUCAACUGCUUGUGCAAAGGCACCUGCUUCUUAAGUGUUUCUACAUUUCUUUUGAGAGCAUUCACUUUCAUGAACCAGUUCUUGAAUCUGCCCCAUUUCAGAAAACUAAGCUUCUGAUCAAGCGAAAAUAUAGACCUUUUUUUUCUAAGUUUUUUAUGAUUUAUUAUUCGUGACUGUGGCAAUUUUUUCUAUAAGCUAAAAAUUGUUCCACGAAUCAUUUAUAAUGCAUUUUACUAAUCUCAUAAACAACUCAGGCUAUUUCAAAUUAGAUCAACUUAAUAUCAAUUAGAUUAGUGUGACCUACAUGCAAUAUGUAUAGGCAACAUGAAUACAUAAAUUAGAUGCACAUAGAUGUGCACUUACUUAAACAUUUAUGGAUGGCUUUUCUUGAAGUCUUAGCUUCUCAUUUGUGUCACAAACCCUUAUGUGGAUAAUGUUAUCUAACAUAGUGCCACAUGUUUGUGGUUGCCAGUUGGAAAGUUCCUUGAUCACUGGCUACUGAAUUUGAUUUUAAAUGAUACGGCUUGGUUCCAGUUGGAUAAAUUAAUUCUAGUUUAUUAUUUAUUUAUGCAGGACACAAACAAAAAUUUGAACUAAUGUUUCACCGAUUUAAGAUCAUGUUCAUGAAUUUAAAUAAUGAUUUGUCUAAACUGGAUCUAUGCAAUUGGAAUGCAUACUUCCCCCAUAAUUCUUGCGAACAAUUCUAUAUCUAGCAUAGGUUUUGGACACCCUUUUUUAAGUGUUGUUGUGGCAGCGCAUGUUUAAGAGUAGUUUUCAAAAUUCAGAAGGAUCUGCAGCCUUCCACAUGAUCAUGUGGAAAGUGUGCAUAAGAAGUGUAUACGGACCUUAUUUUUCCAGUUCUUAUUUGAUAUCCUUGUACCUCCCUUUUCCAAACCUUAAGACAUGGGAUUCCUUCAAUAAUCUCCUUCUGUUUCAUACUACCUCUGCUUGUCAAACUAAGCACUAUGAACAAAAACAAGCCACAGUUCUAUCAAUUGGUAGCCAUCUUUAUGGACUUUCGCCAGAAUUCCUAUUUAAUGCUGCAUCCCCUGAAUUUCGAUGUUCCUGAAGUCUAAUAAAUCCUUAUUUGAUCUCUCAAACCCAUGGAAUGCCGUACCGGUCCGUACCGGCCGGUACGUACCGGUCCGGCCGUGGACCNNNNNNNNNNNNNNNNNNNNUUUUUGAAACCACCGAGUACCGGCCGGUACGGACCGGACCGGUACCGUACCGGUCCGGCCGGCCACCGGUACGCCGACCGGUACCGGUACCGUACCGGUCCGGCCGGCCACCGGUACGCCGACCGGUACCGGUACGGCGGACCUUGCUCAAACCUUUUUCUGGAACCUUUACUUUAAAGAUGUUUGAACUAAUUCUACCAAAGAUUUUGAACGAAGCACCUAAAAUUUAAUGAAAUCCCUAAUUUUCGA